AGCGGCCUGAGAGGGUGACCGGCCACACUGGGACUGAGACACGGCCCAGACUCCUACGGGAGGCAGCAGUGGGGAAUAUUGCACAAUGGGCGCAAGCCUGAUGCAGCGACGCCGCGUGAGGGAUGAGGCCUUCGGGUUGUAAACCUCUUBCAGUAGGGAAGAAGCGAAAGUGACGGUACCUGCAGAAGAAGCACCGGCUAACUACGUGCCAGCAGCCGCGGUAAUACGUAGGGUGCGAGCGUUAUCCGGAAUUAUUGGGCGUAAAGAGCUCGUAGGCGGUUUGUCGCGUCUUCGUGAAAGUCCGGGGCUUAACCCCGGAUCUGCGGUGGGUACGGGCAGACUAGAGUGCAGUAGGGGAGACUGGAAUUCCUGGUGUAGCGGUGGAAUGCGCAGAUAUCAGGAGGAACACCGAUGGCGAAGGCAGGUCUCUGGGCUGUAACUGACGCUGAGGAGCGAAAGCAUGGGAGCGAACAGGAUUAGAUACCCUGGUAGUCCAUGCCGUAAACGUUGGGCACUAGGUGUGGGGACCAUUCCACGGUUUCCGCGCCGCAGCUAACGCAUUAAGUGCCCCGCCUGGGGAGUACGGCCGCAAGSUAAAACUCAAAGGAAUUGACGGGGCCCGCACAAGCGGCGGACAUGCGGAUUAAUUCGAUGCAACGCGAAGAACCUUACCAAGGCUUGANAUGUUCUCGAUCGCCGUAGAGAUACGUUUCCCCUUUGGGGCGGGUUCACAGGUGGUGCAUGGUUGUCGUCAGCUCGUGUCGUGAGAUGUUGGGUUAAGUCCCGCAACGAGCGCAACCCUCGUUCCAUGUUGCCAGCACGUCGUGGUGGGGACUCAUGGGAGCUGCCGGGGUCAACUCGGAGGAAGGUGAGGACGACGUCAAAUCAUCAUGCCCCUUAUGUCUUGGGCUUCACGCAUGCUACAAGGCCGGUACAAUGGGUUGCGAUACUGUGAGGUGGAGCUAAUCCCAAAAAGCCGGUCUCAGUUCGGAUUGGGGUCUCA
Molecule: ribosomal RNA, 1003 nt
Filed under: Micrococcus luteus
Lineage: Bacteria; Bacillati; Actinomycetota; Actinomycetes; Micrococcales; Micrococcaceae
Description: bacterial SSU rRNA
Source: RNAcentral